Molecule: non-coding RNA, 299 nt
Organism: Otolemur garnettii (small-eared galago)
Lineage: Eukaryota; Metazoa; Chordata; Mammalia; Primates; Galagidae
Source: Rfam
GCCGGAUGCAGUGGCGCACACUUGUAGUCCCAGCUACCUCGGAGGCUGAGACAGGAGAAUUGCUUGAGUCAGGAGUUCUGGGCUGUAGUGUGCUAUGCUGAUCAGGUGUCUGCACUAAGUUUGGCAUCAAUAUGAUGACCUGCCGGGAGCUGGGGGCCACCAGGCUGCCUAAGGAGGAGUGAACUGGCCCAGGUCAGAAAUGGAGCAGGUCAAAACUCCCGUGCUGAUCGGUAGUGAGACUGUGCCUGUGAAUAGCCACUGCACUCUAGCCUGGGCAACAUAGCAAGAUCCCGUCUCUA